AACGAACGCUGGCGGCAGGCUUAACACAUGCAAGUCGAACGCCCCGCAAGGGGAGUGGCGCACGGGUGAGUAACGCGUGGAUAUCUGCCUUUUGGUUCGGAAUAACCCCGGGAAACUGGGGCUAAUACCGGAUGGUUCCUACGGGAUAAAGAUUUAUCGCCAAAAGAUGAGUCCGCGUACGAUUAGCUAGUUGGUGAGGUAAUGGCGAACCAAGGCGACGAUCGUUAGCUGGUCUGAGAGGACGAUCAGCCACACUGGGACUGAGACACGGCCCUGGCUCCUACGGGAGGCAGCAGUGGGGAAUAUUGAAAAAUGGGGGCAACCCUGGUCCAGCCAUGCCGGGGGAGUGAUGAAGGGCUUCGGGUUGUAAAGCUCUUUUGGCGGGGACGAUGAUGACGGUACCCGCAGAAUAAGCCCCGGCUAACUUCGUGCCAGCCGCCGCCGUAA
RNAcentral lists this ribosomal RNA (447 nucleotides) under uncultured bacterium. Its description in RNAcentral is "partial 16S ribosomal RNA". It matches the Rfam family "Bacterial small subunit ribosomal RNA", at positions 29 to 523 of the family's 1533-position model. The record is from RNAcentral.